This 728-nucleotide ribosomal RNA is filed under the name Microbacterium sp. YIM210. RNAcentral's name for it is "bacterial SSU rRNA". It matches the Rfam family "Bacterial small subunit ribosomal RNA", at positions 57 to 796 of the family's 1533-position model. Lineage: Bacteria; Bacillati; Actinomycetota; Actinomycetes; Micrococcales; Microbacteriaceae. The record is from RNAcentral.
GCAAGUCGAACGGUGAACACGGAGCUUGCUCUGUGGGAUCAGUGGCGAACGGGUGAGUAACACGUGAGCAACCUGCCCCUGACUCUGGGAUAAGCGCUGGAAACGGCGUCUAAUACUGGAUAUGUGACGUGACCGCAUGGUCUGCGUCUGGAAAGAAUUUCGGUUGGGGAUGGGCUCGCGGCCUAUCAGCUUGUUGGUGAGGUAAUGGCUCACCAAGGCGUCGACGGGUAGCCGGCCUGAGAGGGUGACCGGCCACACUGGGACUGAGACACGGCCCAGACUCCUACGGGAGGCAGCAGUGGGGAAUAUUGCACAAUGGGCGCAAGCCUGAUGCAGCAACGCCGCGUGAGGGACGACGGCCUUCGGGUUGUAAACCUCUUUUAGCAGGGAAGAAGCGAAAGUGACGGUACCUGCAGAAAAAGCGCCGGCUAACUACGUGCCAGCAGCCGCGGUAAUACGUAGGGCGCAAGCGUUAUCCGGAAUUAUUGGGCGUAAAGAGCUCGUAGGCGGUUUGUCGCGUCUGCUGUGAAAUCCGGAGGCUCAACCUCCGGCCUGCAGUGGGUACGGGCAGACUAGAGUGCGGUAGGGGAGAUUGGAAUUCCUGGUGUAGCGGUGGAAUGCGCAGAUAUCAGGAGGAACACCGAUGGCGAAGGCAGAUCUCUGGGCCGUAACUGACGCUGAGGAGCGAAAGGGUGGGGAGCAAACAGGCUUAGAUACCCUGGUAGUCC